AUACGUAGGUGACAAGCGUUAUCCGGAUUUACUGGGCGUAAAGGGCGUGUAGGCGGUCUUGCAAGUCAGAAGUGAAUUUCCUGAGCUCAACUCGGGCGCUGCUUCUGAAACUGCAGGACUUGAGUGCUGGAGGGGAUAGCGGAAUUCCUAGGGGAGCGGUAAAAUGCGCAGAUAUUAGGAAGUACACCGGUGGCGAAGGCGGCUAUCUGGACAGUAACUGACGCUGAGGCGCGAAAGUGUGGGGAGCAAACAGGAUUAGAUACCCUGGUAGUCCACACUGUAAACGAUGAAUGCUAGGUGUAGGGGGUAUCGACCCCUUCUGUGCCGCAGUCAACACAAUAAGCAUUCCGCCUGGGGAGUACGGCCGCAAGGUUGAAACUCAAAUGAAUUGGCGGGG
RNAcentral lists this ribosomal RNA (397 nucleotides) under uncultured bacterium. RNAcentral describes it as "partial 16S ribosomal RNA". It matches the Rfam family "Bacterial small subunit ribosomal RNA", at positions 523 to 918 of the family's 1533-position model. The record is from RNAcentral.